GAUGAAGAACGUAGCGAAAUGCGAUAACUAGUGUGAAUUGCAGAAUUCCGUGAAUCAUCGAGUCUUUGAACGCACAUUGCGCCCCCUGGUAUUCCGGGGGGCAUGCCUGUCCGAGCGUCAUUGCUGCCCAUCAAGCACGGCUUGUGUGUUGGGUCGUCGUCCCCUCUCCGGGGGGGACGGGCCCCAAAGGCAGCGGCGGCACCGCGUCCGAUCCUCGAGCGUAUGGGGCUUUGUCACCCGCUCUGUAGGCCCGGCCGGCGCUUGCCGACACAUCAAUCUUUUUUCCAGGUUGACCUCGGAUCAGGUAGGGAUACCCGCUGAACUUAAGCAUAUCAAUAAGCGGAGGA
This 347-nucleotide unclassified non-coding RNA is filed under the name soil metagenome. RNAcentral describes it as "partial contains 5.8S ribosomal RNA, internal transcribed spacer 2, and large subunit ribosomal RNA". The stretch from base 1 to 120 matches the Rfam family "5.8S ribosomal RNA", at positions 35 to 154 of the family's 154-position model. The record is from RNAcentral.